This 29-nucleotide small RNA is filed under the name Bombyx mori (domestic silkworm). RNAcentral describes it as "ovarian small RNA-7405". The record is from RNAcentral. Lineage: Eukaryota; Metazoa; Arthropoda; Insecta; Lepidoptera; Bombycidae.
UCCUCUCCUUUGACUGCGAUGAGGGCAGC